AACGGCCAUACCAUGCUGAAUAUACCGGUUCUCGUUAGAUCACCGAAGUCUCAAGCAUCAUUGGGCGCGGUCAGUACUUGGGUGGGUGACCACCUGGGAACACCGCGUGCCGUUA
RNAcentral lists this ribosomal RNA (115 nucleotides) under Caerostris darwini. Lineage: Eukaryota; Metazoa; Arthropoda; Arachnida; Araneae; Araneidae. The record is from RNAcentral.